RNAcentral lists this unclassified non-coding RNA (316 nucleotides) under uncultured Tomentella. Its description in RNAcentral is "sequence contains 5.8S rRNA gene". The record is from RNAcentral. Lineage: Eukaryota; Fungi; Basidiomycota; Agaricomycetes; Thelephorales; Thelephoraceae.
GAACGCACCUUGCGCCCUUUGGUCUUUCCAAUGGGCAUGCCUGUUUGAGUAUCGUGAACACCUCAACUCUCAUGGUUUGCCAUGAUGAGCUUGGACUUUGGGGGUCUUGCUGGCCUGUGGUCGGCUCCUCUCAAACAGAUCAGCUUGCCAGUGUUUGGUGGCACCACGGGUGUGAUAACUAUCUACGCUUGUGGUUUUCUGCCAGGUAACCUCCAGUGAUGGAGGUUCGCUGGGGCUCACAAAUGUCUCUCCUCAGCGAGGACAGCUUUUUGAACGUUUGAUCUCAAAUCAGGUAGGACUACCCGCUGAACUUAAG